RNAcentral lists this ribosomal RNA (376 nucleotides) under uncultured bacterium. Its description in RNAcentral is "bacterial SSU rRNA". It matches the Rfam family "Bacterial small subunit ribosomal RNA", at positions 521 to 895 of the family's 1533-position model. The record is from RNAcentral.
UAAUACGUAGGUGGCAAGCGUUGUCCGGAUUUACUGGGCGUAAAGAGCGCGCAGGCGGUCGUUCAAGUCGGAUGUGAAAGCCCCCGGCUCAACUGGGGAGGGUCAUUCGAUACUGAUCGACUCGAAGGCAGGAGAGGGAAGCGGAAUUCCCGGUGUAGUGGUGAAAUGCGUAGAUAUCGGGAGGAACACCAGUGGCGAAGGCGGCUUCCUGGCCUGUUCUUGACGCUGAGGCGCGAAAGCUAGGGGAGCGAACGGGAUUAGAUACCCCGGUAGUCCUAGCUGUAAACGAUGGACACUAGGUGUUGGUGGUAUCAACCCCGCCAGUGCCGUAGCUAACGCAUUAAGUGUCCCGCCUGGGGAGUACGGCCGCAAGGCU